AGGUGAUCCAACCGCAGGUUCCCCUACGGUUACCUUGUUACGACUUCACCCCAGUCAUGAAUCACAAAGUGGUAAGCGCCCUCCCGAAGGUUAAGCUACCUACUUCUUUUGCAACCCACUCCCAUGGUGUGACGGGCGGUGUGUACAAGGCCCGGGAACGUAUUCACCGUGGCAUUCUGAUCCACGAUUACUAGCGAUUCCGACUUCAUGGAGUCGAGUUGCAGACUCCAAUCCGGACUACGACGCACUUUAUGAGGUCCGCUUGCUCUCGCGAGGUCGCUUCUCUUUGUAUGCGCCAUUGUAGCACGUGUGUAGCCCUGGUCGUAAGGGCCAUGAUGACUUGACGUCAUCCCCACCUUCCUCCAGUUUAUCACUGGCAGUCUCCUUUGAGUUCCCGGCCGGACCGCUGGCAACAAAGGAUAAGGGUUGCGCUCGUUGCGGGACUUAACCCAACAUUUCACAACACGAGCUGACGACAGCCAUGCAGCACCUGUCUCACGGUUCCCGAAGGCACAUUCUCAUCUCUGAAAACUUCCGUGGAUGUCAAGACCAGGUAAGGUUCUUCGCGUUGCAUCGAAUUAAACCACAUGCUCCACCGCUUGUGCGGGCCCCCGUCAAUUCAUUUGAGUUUUAACCUUGCGGCCGUACUCCCCAGGCGGUCGACUUAACGCGUUAGCUCCGGAAGCCACGCCUCAAGGGCACAACCUCCAAGUCGACAUCGUUUACGGCGUGGACUACCAGGGUAUCUAAUCCUGUUUGCUCCCCACGCUUUCGCACCUGAGCGUCAGUCUUCGUCCAGGGGGCCGCCUUCGCCACCGGUAUUCCUCCAGAUCUCUACGCAUUUCACCGCUACACCUGGAAUUCUACCCCCCUCUACGAGACUCAAGCUUGCCAGUAUCAGAUGCAGUUCCCAGGUUGAGCCCGGGGAUUUCACAUCUGACUUAACAAACCGCCUGCGUGCGCUUUACGCCCAGUAAUUCCGAUUAACGCUUGCACCCUCCGUAUUACCGCGGCUGCUGGCACGGAGUUAGCCGGUGCUUCUUCUGCGGGUAACGUCAAUGAGCAAAGGUAUUAACUUUACUCCCUUCCUCCCCGCUGAAAGUACUUUACAACCCGAAGGCCUUCUUCAUACACGCGGCAUGGCUGCAUCAGGCUUGCGCCCAUUGUGCAAUAUUCCCCACUGCUGCCUCCCGUAGGAGUCUGGACCGUGUCUCAGUUCCAGUGUGGCUGGUCAUCCUCUCAGACCAGCUAGGGAUCGUCGCCUAGGUGAGCCGUUACCCCACCUACUAGCUAAUCCCAUCUGGGCACAUCCGAUGGCAAGAGGCCCUAAGGUCCCCCUCUUUGGUCUUGCGACGUUAUGCGGUAUUAGCUACCGUUUCCAGUUAGUUAUCCCCCUCCAUCAGGCAGUUUCCCAGACAUUACUCACCCGUCCGCCACUCGUCAGCAAAACAGCAAGCUGUUUCCUGUUACCGUUCGACUUGCAUGUGUUAGGCCUGCCGCCAGCGUUCAAUCUGAGCCAUGAUCAAACUCU
Molecule: ribosomal RNA, 1531 nt
Filed under: Escherichia coli 2362-75
Lineage: Bacteria; Pseudomonadati; Pseudomonadota; Gammaproteobacteria; Enterobacterales; Enterobacteriaceae
Description: 16S ribosomal RNA
Source: RNAcentral